RNAcentral lists this ribosomal RNA (498 nucleotides) under uncultured bacterium. RNAcentral describes it as "partial 16S ribosomal RNA". It matches the Rfam family "Bacterial small subunit ribosomal RNA", at positions 28 to 507 of the family's 1533-position model. The record is from RNAcentral.
GACGAACGCUGGCGGCGUGCCUAAUACAUGCAAGUCGAGCGGACGGAUGGGAGCUUGCUCCCAGACCGUCAGCGGCGGACGGGUGAGUAACACGUGGGCAACCUGCCUGUAAGACUGGGAUAACUCCGGGAAACCGGGGCUAAUACCGGAUAACUCUUUCCCUCACUUGAGGGAAAGCUGAAAGAUGGCAUCUCGCUAUCACUUACAGAUGGGCCCGCGGCGCAUUAGCUAGUUGGUGAGGUAACGGCUCACCAAGGCGACGAUGCGUAGCCGACCUGAGAGGGUGAUCGGCCACACUGGAACUGAGACACGGCCCAGACUCCUACGAGAGGCAGCAGUAGGGAAUCUGCCGCAAUGGACGAAAGUCUGACGGAGCAGCGCCGCGUGAGUGAUGAAGGUUUUCGGAUCGUAAAACUCUGUUGUCAGGGAAGAACAAGUACCGGAGUAACUGCCGGUACCUUGACGGUACCUGACCAGAAAGCCACGGCUAACUACGUG